Long non-coding RNA from Piliocolobus tephrosceles (Ugandan red Colobus), 566 nucleotides. NCBI's taxonomy places the organism in Eukaryota, Metazoa, Chordata, Mammalia, Primates, Cercopithecidae. The record is from Ensembl.
AUGGGGUUCUUCAAAAUCCAGCCUCGGAUGCCCUCCUCCCGCAGCGAUGGCCUCCACCUCUGGCCUGGCGAGCUCACGUGGUCCAGCUUGUGCAACUCCGGGUUUCCGGCUUUUGGUCACUCAGGGUUGGACCUGGGACUGGUGCUGGUCGGCCCUGCAGGCGCUGUGGACUGGGGAAGCACAGAGAUUCCCCGCCCCGUUCCCGGGACUGGGGCGCACGCCACGAUGCCCCGCCCCACUCUUCACCCCCUGAAUGCAGGGCGCUUGCUGCUACUCGGUGGCUCAAGCACCGUCCCCAUUCUCUGCCCGCCCCUCUCCCGGGACACUGCGCACGCACCACAGAGCCACGCCCCUCUCCUCACCCCGCCACCCGGACGCAGAGCGUCCGCCGCCGCGUUUCCGGCGACAUCUCGCUGUCAUCACCGCGGCUUGCGCGCCCUUGUAGACAGCCCGGGCCUUCGUGAGACCGAACUGUGAGUUGGACACAGAAGUUUCUAAAAAAGUGCAGGCCUAGGGUAGUCUCCCGUCUGGACAGAGAAGAGAAGAAUGCAGGACACCGGCUCAGU